AACGCACAUUGCGCCCAUUGGUAUUCCGAUGGGCAUGCCUGUUCGAGCGUCAUUAUCCUCCCUCAAACCUCGUGUUUGGUGUUGGACCGCGUUGGUCGAGCGACCAACUGGUCUCAAAGAUAGUGACGGCGUCCGUGGGACCCUCGGUGCAACGAGCUUUUAACGAGCACGCGUCGAGUUUCAAGGACCCUCCGGGCCGGUCUAGACCUAUAUCUUUCUCAGGUUGACCUCGGAUCAGGUAGGAAUACCCGCUGAACUUAA
RNAcentral lists this unclassified non-coding RNA (261 nucleotides) under uncultured Chaetothyriaceae. RNAcentral describes it as "sequence contains ITS2". The stretch from base 1 to 52 matches the Rfam family "5.8S ribosomal RNA", at positions 103 to 154 of the family's 154-position model. Lineage: Eukaryota; Fungi; Ascomycota; Eurotiomycetes; Chaetothyriales; Chaetothyriaceae. The record is from RNAcentral.